GGAGCGCGGUGUGUGCGAGAGCGCCGGGGGUGUCCGCGCAGGGAUAGCUGGUGUGCGUGCAGCGGAAGGCGCUAACUGCCCUGGAUGUGGAGACCCGCGGACUGGACGUGAGAGGCGGGCAGGGGCAGUUGGGGCAGCUGCCCCUACAACACUGAAGAAUUGGAAUAGGAAAGAGUGUGGGGGUAGGGGACGGGGACUCUUUGUCUGCAGUUGGAAUGCGCGGAGGGGCAUGGUGGAAUGUGUCGCGUCCCGGGACCGGACGACAGGAGGCAUGUUCUGCGCUAGCACCGUGACUUUGUUCCCAGCGUGGGGACUGUGGGAGAGAUGGAGAGAGACUGGUACAGAAAUGGUGAGACAAGGAGAGAGCCAUAAAGAGGAAGACAGAGAGAAAGAAGACAAAUGCAUAAAGAGGUUCAGAGACGUGUGACUGUGGAGAUCGAAGGCCUGGUUUUAGGGCUAGCGAACACCUUCUCCCUUUGGUUUUGGUCCACAGAAGACUGGUGAUACAGAUUGCAUUGUCUCCCUGACCUCAUCUCCCCUGAGAAUCAGCCUCUGUUUCCCUGGUCAAGGCCACGGCUUUUCUCUGAUCCUGAGGAGAGUUUCCUACCAGAGUGGAAGCAGGGAGGACUGAAAGCACUAGGAACAGAGGGGAGCUAUCGGAUUGCAUCUAGAACCUGCUGUGAGCAACAUCUUCAGAAUUAACCAUAAUGUGUUCCCUCCUUUCCUGUGUCCAGAUGAGGAAGGAGAACUUUGAUUCUUCCUUCCAAUUACAUCCAAAAUAUCCACACAACUACUAAUAUUUGGAAGCUUUGAUCCUUUGGGGUGAGGAUGCGAGAGGAAAUCUUAUGAAAUGUUGGGAGGCCAUUAAAGGAGGCCCAUGCAAGAGUUGGUGGUAGCAAUGGGCACAACUGGGAUGAACAGCCUGUGUUUUCAAGGGAUAACUGGAAGCAGAGAUGAGUGAAGGGGAAGAAGUAGAAGACGCAUAUGCUAAUAGGGCAUGCUCCAAUAGUGCUCAUGACCUCAGGUGGCCUCUCCACAGUCUAAACUGGAGCUGGGAUCUCCAAAGGCCCUCUUCGUUCCCAAGACUUUAAUUAUAAUCUGUAUAUGCAGGUGACUCCCUAAUCCAUAUUUCCAGCCCAGUCUUUCUUGGAAUUAAAAACUCAACUAACUACUAGCAUCUCCAAUGGCUGUCUCAGAAGCACCCAAUAUCCUAAACUGAUCUCAUCUUCUCUGCCUCAUGAAACUGGCUCCUCUAACAUUCUCUGAGUAAAUGGCACAAUCCUGUUAGCUGCUUAAACUAGAAAUCUGAGCGUCAACCCUAUGUCCUCCUUCUCCCUUAACCUCAAAUCCAACCAAGUCCUAUCAAUCACCAAGUUCUAUUAAUUCUGCUUCCUAAACAUCUUCCAAAUCUGUCCUCCCCUCAUCACCACUAUAUAUGUCAAGUCACCGUCUUUCCUCUCCGAAACCAAUGCAAAAGUCUCCUGGCCAAGGCUUGCUCCCUGCAAUCCAUCUUAUACCCUGAGGUCAAGUGAUUUUUUUCAGUACAGAAGCUUUACGACUUACAAUGGAGUUAUGUCUGAAUAAACCCAUCCAUUAUAAAUUGAAAAUAUCGUAAGGCAGAAGUGCUUCUUCAACUUCACCAUAUUUUCAGCUUAAAAUGGGUUUAUCUGAUAUAACUGCAUCAUAAGGUGAGGAGCAUACUGAAUCAUUUCGCACCAUCGUAAAGUUGAAAAAUCCUAAGUCGAACCAUCGUUGAGUUGGGGACUGCCUGUAGGCAAAACCUGUCGUUUUAUUUCCCUGCUAAAACAAACUUUCAAUGAUUUCUCACUGCCCUUGGGUUGAAGUCUGUACUCUGUAUUAUGAGGUCUGUCUCACUCUCCAGCCUCUCCUCUAGCAUUAUCCCUUCCCCAAAAGUCUGCAGUAGAACUGGACCUUGUCUGUACUCUCUCUUGCCCCUGGACUUUUGUACCUGCAGUUCCCUGUUUGGAACACUCUCUUAGCCUCCCCUUUCCUUCUGGUUAACUCUUCCCCAGUUUAGACAUUACACCCUCUCAGAAGAAGCCUUUCCAGACUGCAAGAGUAGGUUAGCUACCCCUGCUGUAUAUUGCCAUAGUGCACUACACUCCACCAUGGUCACCCUUAUCACAGUUCAUUUCAUUGCCUACUCCACUGCCUGGCUUCCUGACUAAACUAAAAAAAUCUCUGAACAGCAUCCAACCUUAUCAACAAUGUAUCCAUAGCACAGUACCUGACACCUAGUAAAGCGAUCAAUGUUUGUUAUAAGACUGAAUAAAUGUAAAGCCAUUUUUGCUUUUCAAUCCAUCCAAAAUGCACACCCCUUCCUCAAAAUACAGCUUGGCUGACAGGACCAAGAAACAGCUACAAAGCUGUGUAUUUUGCUUGGUCACAUAGUGAGAGAGAGGCUGCCGGUGAGACACGGGAACUCUUUAAGCCUUAAUUUCCUCAUCUGUAAGAUAGGAAUAGUAAAAUUUUCCUCAUGUAAUUCAAUAAACAAUAGCUAUUAUAUCAGGAACCCAAUUCCCCAAUAGUGAUAGAACUUGUGUUCCCUUGGUCAGAAGACUCAAGCUCAUGACUGAAACUGCCCACCAGGUGGCGGUAUUAACCUGCACUGGUCAUGUUCGGUUUCCACUGCAGAGCAAGACAAGUAGUCACAGGGAAGCAAAAGGUACAACCUGGGCUGCUUCCUCAGAGCUUUGGGUGGAACUGGGCAGGGGCAGAAACAACUCAGAGACAGGGCAUAUGUCAAGAAGGCCUCAUGUUUCUUGGACCCAUCCUCCUCAUUUUCUCAUCCCAGG
RNAcentral lists this long non-coding RNA (2816 nucleotides) under Homo sapiens (human). RNAcentral describes it as "HSALNT0208196". Lineage: Eukaryota; Metazoa; Chordata; Mammalia; Primates; Hominidae. The record is from RNAcentral.